CACGAAGCGGUGGAGCAUGUGGUUUAAUUCGAAGCAACGCGAAGAACCUUACCAGGUCUUGACAUCCCUGACAACCCGAGAGAUCGGGCGUUCCCCUUCGGGGGGCAGGGUGACAGGUGGUGCAUGGUUGUCGUCAGCUCGUGUCGUGAGAUGUUGGGUUAAGUCCCGCAACGAGCGCAACCCUCGACCUUAGUUGCCAGCAUUCAGUUGGGCACUCUAAGGUGACUGCCGGCUAAAAGUCGGAGGAAGGUGGGGAUGACGUCAAAUCAUCAUGCCCCUUAUGACCUGGGCUACACACGUGCUACAAUGGGCGGUACAAAGGGUCGCGAACCCGCGAGGGGGAGCCAAUCCCAAAAAGCCGCUCUCAGUUCGGAUUGCAGGCUGCAACUCGCCUGCAUGAAGCCGGAAUCGCUAGUAAUCGCGGAUCAGCGUGCCGCGGUGAAUACGUUCCCGGGCCUU
RNAcentral lists this ribosomal RNA (459 nucleotides) under uncultured Anoxybacillus sp. RNAcentral's name for it is "bacterial SSU rRNA". It matches the Rfam family "Bacterial small subunit ribosomal RNA", at positions 924 to 1382 of the family's 1533-position model. The record is from RNAcentral. Lineage: Bacteria; Bacillati; Bacillota; Bacilli; Caryophanales; Anoxybacillaceae.